UUAAAAUUAUGGAAAAUGUCCUAGGAAAGAGGGCUGGUCGUGCCAAAGGGUUGGGUAUGGGGGUCAUACCACCCCAAUCUUCUCGCAAACCCGAAUCUUCAGCUAAUAGAGCACUACUUGAAGAACUAAAACAGUGCAAGGAGAAGCUUCAAUGCUAUGAGGAGCGAAUUCAAGCACAAGAUACCCAAAUCCAAAAUCUUGUACAAAGCCAGCAAGGGAUACAAGAAAUGCUACAAGAAUUCCUCAUUUGGAAACAGAAGCAGUGUGGAGGUUCUUCCUAGUAAUGGUGAGUUUGUAGAUCUUUAUUCGAAACAAAUGCAUUUAUGUGCAGUUACUUCAGCAUAGUAAUUAUUCUUGUAUUGCUUGUCCUCAUGAUUAGGUGGUCCCUAAGCAAUUUGUAGUGAUCAUCCAUGCAUCAUAACAAAAAUACAUCUUUUCCAUGCCAUUCUAUUGUUUCUCUGAUUUCAGAUUUUUCUUGGUUUUAUUGUACAGGUUUGGGAUGAACGUUUGGGACUGCUUUUGGCUUUUGGCUUUUGAGUUUGGGAUAAACUCAACAUUAUGGACUGCUUUUGGCUUUUGGACUGCUUUUAGCUCAUACUGAAGAAUUCCUCUAUUUUGAUAUCAUCCAUCUCUAGUAUUUUGUUGACCAUGGAAUUGAAGUCCAUCUUUUGAUUUUAGCACAUGUUAGGUAUAUGGCAGUUAUCUAGGGAGAAAUAGCAAUAUUUAUAUUGGUUUCAAAUCAUGGAAUGUAAUGAU
This 756-nucleotide long non-coding RNA is filed under the name Coffea arabica (coffee). RNAcentral describes it as "long non-coding RNA (CARA_LNC000648)". Lineage: Eukaryota; Viridiplantae; Streptophyta; Magnoliopsida; Gentianales; Rubiaceae. The record is from RNAcentral.